RNAcentral lists this unclassified non-coding RNA (302 nucleotides) under plant metagenome. RNAcentral's name for it is "partial contains small subunit ribosomal RNA, internal transcribed spacer 1, and 5.8S ribosomal RNA". The stretch from base 254 to 302 matches the Rfam family "5.8S ribosomal RNA", at positions 1 to 49 of the family's 154-position model. The record is from RNAcentral.
UUUCCGUAGGUGAACCUGCGGAAGGAUCAUUGUCGAAACCUGCCCAGCAGAACGACCCGCGAACUUGUAUAAACAACCGGGGGCGGGGGGCGUUCUCGCCCCGUGCCCCCGAACGGCGGGGAGACACUCGUGCCUUCUUGCCGAACAACGAACCCCGGCGCGGUCUGCGCCAAGGAACUUCAACUAAAGAGUGCCUCCGGUCGCCUCGGAAACGGCGUGCGUGCCGGGGGCGAAUCUUGUGCAAAACCAUAACGACUCUCGGCAACGGAUAUCUCGGCUCUCGCAUCGAUGAAGAACGCAGU